AACGAACGCUGGCGGCGUGCCUAACACACGCAAGUCGUGCGAGAAAGUUCCUUCGGGAGCGAGUAAAGCGGCGCACGGGUGAGUAACACGUAGGUAACCUGCCCCCCAGUCUGGAACAACUAGAGGAAACUCUAGCUAAUGCCGGAUGAGACCACGAUCCCUUCGGGGGUUGCGGCCAAAGAUGGCCUCUACUUGUAAGCUAUCGCUGAGGGAUGGGCCUGCGGGCCAUUAGCUUGUUGGUGAGGUAACGGCUCACCAAGGCUGUGAUGGCUAGCUGGUCUGAGAGGAUGACCAGCCACACUGGGACUGAGACACGGCCCAGACUCCUACGGGAGGCAGCAGUGGGGAAUAUUGCGCAAUGGGCGAAAGCCUGACGCAGCGACGCCGCGUGGGUGAUGAAGGCCU
This 405-nucleotide ribosomal RNA is filed under the name uncultured bacterium. RNAcentral describes it as "bacterial SSU rRNA". It matches the Rfam family "Bacterial small subunit ribosomal RNA", at positions 29 to 417 of the family's 1533-position model. The record is from RNAcentral.